This 678-nucleotide ribosomal RNA is filed under the name Acinetobacter baumannii. RNAcentral's name for it is "bacterial SSU rRNA". It matches the Rfam family "Bacterial small subunit ribosomal RNA", at positions 1 to 672 of the family's 1533-position model. The record is from RNAcentral. Lineage: Bacteria; Pseudomonadati; Pseudomonadota; Gammaproteobacteria; Moraxellales; Moraxellaceae.
UUUAACUGAAGAGUUUGAUCAUGGCUCAGAUUGAACGCUGGCGGCAGGCUUAACACAUGCAAGUCGAGCGGGGGAAGGUAGCUUGCUACUGGACCUAGCGGCGGACGGGUGAGUAAUGCUUAGGAAUCUGCCUAUUAGUGGGGGCAACAUCUCGAAAGGGAUGCUAAUACCGCAUACGUCCUACGGGAGAAAGCAGGGGAUCUUCGGACCUUGCGCUAAUAGAUGAGCCUAAGUCGGAUUAGCUAGUUGGUGGGGUAAAGGCCUACCAAGGCGACGAUCUGUAGCGGGUCUGAGAGGAUGAUCCGCCACACUGGGACUGAGACACGGCCCAGACUCCUACGGGAGGCAGCAGUGGGGAAUAUUGGACAAUGGGGGGAACCCUGAUCCAGCCAUGCCGCGUGUGUGAAGAAGGCCUUAUGGUUGUAAAGCACUUUAAGCGAGGAGGAGGCUACUUUAGUUAAUACCUAGAGAUAGUGGACGUUACUCGCAGAAUAAGCACCGGCUAACUCUGUGCCAGCAGCCGCGGUAAUACAGAGGGUGCGAGCGUUAAUCGGAUUUACUGGGCGUAAAGCGUGCGUAGGCGGCUUAUUAAGUCGGAUGUGAAAUCCCCGAGCUUAACUUGGGAAUUGCAUUCGAUACUGGUGAGCUAGAGUAUGGGAGAGGAUGGUAGAAUUCCAG